RNAcentral lists this ribosomal RNA (564 nucleotides) under uncultured bacterium. Its description in RNAcentral is "partial 16S ribosomal RNA". It matches the Rfam family "Bacterial small subunit ribosomal RNA", at positions 355 to 1375 of the family's 1533-position model. The record is from RNAcentral.
UGGGGAAUAUUGCACAAUGGGCGAAAGCCUGAUGCAGCAACGCCGCGUGAGUGAUGAAGGCCUUCGGGUUGUAAAGCUCUGUCUUUUGGGACGAUAAUGACGGUACCAAAGGAGGAAGCCACGGCUAACUACGUGCCAGCAGCCGCGGUAAUACGUAGGUGGCAAGCGUUGUCCGGAUUUACUGGGCGUAAAGGAUGCGUAGGCGGAUUUUUAAGUGAGAUGUGAAAUACCCGGGCUUAACUUGGGUGCUGCAUUUCAAACUGGGAAUCUAGAGUGCGGGAGAGGAGAAUGGAAUUCCUAGUGUAGCGGUGAAAUGCGUAGAGAUUAGGAAGAACACCAGUGGCGAAGGCGAUUCUCUGGACCGUAACUGACGCUGAGGCAUGAAAGCGUGGGUAGCAAACAGGAUUAGAUACCCUGGUAGUCCACGCCGUAAACGAUGAGUACUAGGUGUAGGAGGUAUCGACCCCUUCUGUGCCGCAGUUAACACAAUAAGUACUCCGCCUGGGAAGUACGAUCGCAAGAUUAAAAGCUCAAAUGAAUUGACGGGGUCAUAGCUGUUUUCCU